This 682-nucleotide ribosomal RNA is filed under the name Escherichia coli. Its description in RNAcentral is "partial 23S ribosomal RNA". It matches the Rfam family "Bacterial large subunit ribosomal RNA", at positions 1 to 725 of the family's 2925-position model. The record is from RNAcentral. Lineage: Bacteria; Pseudomonadati; Pseudomonadota; Gammaproteobacteria; Enterobacterales; Enterobacteriaceae.
GGUUAAGCGACUAAGCGUACACGGUGGAUGCCCUGGCAGUCAGAGGCGAUGAAGGACGUGCUAAUCUGCGAUAAGCGUCGGUAAGGUGAUAUGAACCGUUAUAACCGGCGAUUUCCGAAUGGGGAAACCCAGUGUGUUUCGACACACUAUCAUUAACUGAAUCCAUAGGUUAAUGAGGCGAACCGGGGGAACUGAAACAUCUAAGUACCCCGAGGAAAAGAAAUCAACCGAGAUUCCCCCAGUAGCGGCGAGCGAACGGGGAGCAGCCCAGAGCCUGAAUCAGUGUGUGUGUUAGUGGAAGCGUCUGGAAAGGCGCGCGAUACAGGGUGACAGCCCCGUACACAAAAAUGCACAUGCUGUGAGCUCGAUGAGUAGGGCGGGACACGUGGUAUCCUGUCUGAAUAUGGGGGGACCAUCCUCCAAGGCUAAAUACUCCUGACUGACCGAUAGUGAACCAGUACCGUGAGGGAAAGGCGAAAAGAACCCCGGCGAGGGGAGUGAAAAAGAACCUGAAACCGUGUACGUACAAGCAGUGGGAGCACGCUUCGGCGUGUGACUGCGUACCUUUUGUAUAAUGGGUCAGCGACUUAUAUUCUGUAGCAAGGUUAACCGAAUAGGGGAGCCGAAGGGAAACCGAGUCUUAACUGGGCGUUAAGUUGCAGGGUAUAGACCCGAAACCCGG